This 123-nucleotide ribosomal RNA is filed under the name Neogale vison (American mink). Lineage: Eukaryota; Metazoa; Chordata; Mammalia; Carnivora; Mustelidae. The record is from RNAcentral.
UNCUACGGCCAUACCACCCUGAACGCGCCCGAUCUCGUCUGAUCUCGGAAGCUAAGCAGGGUCGGGCCUGGUUAGUACUUGGAUGGGAGAAAUUCUUAACUGAGUCGGUGGAUCCAGUUGGUU